Molecule: ribosomal RNA, 253 nt
Filed under: uncultured bacterium
Lineage: Bacteria
Description: partial 16S ribosomal RNA
Rfam family: Bacterial small subunit ribosomal RNA
Source: RNAcentral
UACGGGGGGGGCAAGCGUUGUUCGGAAUUACUGGGCGUAAAGGGUUUGUAGGUGGCUUGUUAAGUCAGACGUGAAAUCCCUCAGCUUAACUGGGGAACUGCGUCUGAGACUGGUGAGCUUGAGUGCAGGAGAGGAACGCGGAAUUCCAGGUGUAGCGGUGAAAUGCGUAGAUAUCUGGAGGAACACCGGUGGCGAAGGCGGCAUCCUGGACCGACACUGACGCUGAGGAGCGAAAGCCAGGGGAGCAAACGGG